This 309-nucleotide ribosomal RNA is filed under the name Mantidactylus melanopleura. RNAcentral's name for it is "partial 16S ribosomal RNA". It matches the Rfam family "Bacterial large subunit ribosomal RNA", at positions 2221 to 2597 of the family's 2925-position model. The record is from RNAcentral. Lineage: Eukaryota; Metazoa; Chordata; Amphibia; Anura; Mantellidae.
UCUUAUAGCCCCACAACCCCCCUAGGCACCGUGUGCUUGGUUUUAGGUUGGGGCGACCGCGGAGUACAAUAAAACCUCCACAAUGAAUGGGAACACCCCCUUAUCUGAGGGCCACACCCCCUAAGAAUUAGAACACUAACAUAAAAUGAUCCAUUAUUUGAUCAAUGAACCAAGUUACCCUGGGGAUAACAGCGCAAUCCAUUUCAAGAGCCCCUAUCGACAAAUGGGUUUACGACCUCGAUGUUGGAUCAGGGUACCCCAGUGGUGCAGCAGCUACUAACGGUUCGUUUGUUCAACGAUUAAAACCCU